This 71-nucleotide transfer RNA is filed under the name Bos taurus (domestic cattle). It matches the Rfam family "tRNA". From Rfam's summary of the family: Transfer RNA (tRNA) molecules are approximately 80 nucleotides in length. Lineage: Eukaryota; Metazoa; Chordata; Mammalia; Artiodactyla; Bovidae. The record is from Rfam by way of RNAcentral.
UCCUGGUAGCUUAGGUGGUAAAGAAUCUGCCUGCAAUGCAGAAGACCCCGGUUUGACUCCUGGGUCAGGAA